RNAcentral lists this ribosomal RNA (492 nucleotides) under uncultured bacterium. Its description in RNAcentral is "partial 16S ribosomal RNA". It matches the Rfam family "Bacterial small subunit ribosomal RNA", at positions 29 to 507 of the family's 1533-position model. The record is from RNAcentral.
AGUGAGCGCUGGCGGUAGGCCUAACACAUACAAGUCGAACGGCAGCACAGUAAGAGCUUGCUCUUACGGGUGGCGAGUGGCGGACGGGUGAGGAAUACAUCGGAAUCUACUUUUUCGUGGGGGAUAACGUAGGGAAACUUACGCUAAUACCGCAUACGACCUACGGGUGAAAGCAGGGGAUCUUCGGACCUUGCGCGAUUGAAUGAGCCGAUGUCGGAUUAGCUAGUUGGCGGGGUAAAGGCCCACCAAGGCGACGAUCCGUAGCUGGUCUGAGAGGAUGAUCAGCCACACUGGAACUGAGACUCGGUCCAGACUCCUACGGGAGGCAGCAGUGGGGAAUAUUGGACAAUGGGCGCAAGCCUGAUCCAGCCAUACCGCGUGGGUGAAGAAGGCCUUCGGGUUGUAAAGCCCUUUUGUUGGGAAAGAAAAGCAGCAGGUUAAUACCCCGCUGUUCUGACGGUACCCAAAGAAUAAGCACCGGCUAACUUCGUG